UUACUACAUCAGCCGAAUUCCCCGCACCUGGGAAACGGGGGAACCAAGUUAUGGGUGAAUUGACUCCACUGUCAGAGAGUCAUAGGGAACCUUCGACCGAAUCCUCAAGCUAACCUCGCAGGCCUUGGAAGGAGUUUUA
This 139-nucleotide small RNA is filed under the name Paenibacillus yonginensis. RNAcentral describes it as "c-di-AMP sequence". It matches the Rfam family "c-di-AMP riboswitch aptamer (ydaO/yuaA leader)". Rfam says of the family: This family represents a conserved RNA structure found upstream of the ydaO and yuaA genes in Bacillus subtilis and related genes in other bacteria. The record is from Rfam by way of RNAcentral. Lineage: Bacteria; Bacillati; Bacillota; Bacilli; Caryophanales; Paenibacillaceae.